UUAAAAAUCUUGAGAAACUUUUUUUUUUUUAAAAAAAACUUAUAGCAACGGAUCUCUUGGCUCUCGUAUCGAUGAAGAACGCAGCGAAAUGUGAUAAGUAAUGUGAAUUGCAGAAUUCAGUGAAUCAUCGAAUCUUUGAACGCAUCUUGCGCUCUUUGGUAUUCCGAAGAGCAUGUCUGUCUGAGUGUCACGAAACUCUCAACCUCCUUUCCUUUGUGAUCGGCUGGUUGGAUCAUGGGCGCUUGCCGGCCAGGUCGGCUCGCCUGAAAUGCAUUUGCGAUGUUGUGUCCUUGUGAGUUGGCCCGACUAGGCGUGAUGGUAACGACGUUCGUCUAGGAUCCCGCUUCGGCGAGGAGCCGCUCCUGUUGGGCGUUUGCCUUCGCAUGAACACUCAUAUCUUUGGUUUAGACCUCAGAUCAGGCAGGAUUACCCGCUGAACUUAAGCAUAUCAAUAAGCGGAGGAAG
This 465-nucleotide ribosomal RNA is filed under the name Atractiellales sp. nc_besc_4f. RNAcentral's name for it is "eukaryotic LSU rRNA". The stretch from base 37 to 190 matches the Rfam family "5.8S ribosomal RNA". The record is from RNAcentral. Lineage: Eukaryota; Fungi; Basidiomycota; Atractiellomycetes; Atractiellales.